Molecule: non-coding RNA, 22 nt
Filed under: Arabidopsis thaliana (thale cress)
Lineage: Eukaryota; Viridiplantae; Streptophyta; Magnoliopsida; Brassicales; Brassicaceae
Source: RNAcentral
CUUGUGGUGUUCAUGGAAUCAG